GAUGAACGCUGGCGGCGUGCCUAAUACAUGCAAGUCGAGCGAACAGACGAGGAGCUUGCUCCUCUGACGUUAGCGGCGGACGGGUGAGUAACACGUGGAUAACCUACCUAUAAGACUGGGAUAACUUCGGGAAACCGGAGCUAAUACCGGAUAAUAUAUUGAACCGCAUGGUUCAAUAGUGAAAGACGGUUUUGCUGUCACUUAUAGAUGUAUCCGCGCCGCAUGAGCUAGUUGGUAAGGUAACGGCUUACCAAGGCAACGAUGCGUAGCCGACCUGAGAGGGUGGUCGGCCACACUGGAACUGAGACACGGUCCAGACUCCUGCGGGAGGCAGCAGUAGGGAAUCUUCCGCAAUGGGGGAGAGCCUGACGGAGCAACGCCGCGUGAGUGAUGAAGGUCUUCGGAUCGUAAAGCUCUGUUAUUAGUGAAGAACAAAUGUGUAAGUAACUAUGCACGUCUUGACGGUACCUAAUCAGAAAGCCACGGCUAACUACGUG
RNAcentral lists this ribosomal RNA (497 nucleotides) under uncultured bacterium. RNAcentral describes it as "partial 16S ribosomal RNA". It matches the Rfam family "Bacterial small subunit ribosomal RNA", at positions 28 to 507 of the family's 1533-position model. The record is from RNAcentral.